GCUGGUUGUGGUGGUGUGCACCUGUAGUCCCAACUACUUGGGAAGCUGAGACAAGAGGAUCGCUUGAGCCCAGGAGUUGGAGGGUGCAGUGAGCUAGGAUUGCACCACUGCACUCCAGCCUAGGCAAUAGAGCGAGACCCUGUCUCCA
Non-coding RNA from Gorilla gorilla gorilla (western lowland gorilla), 148 nucleotides. It matches the Rfam family "Metazoan signal recognition particle RNA". Rfam says of the family: The signal recognition particle (SRP) is a universally conserved ribonucleoprotein. It is involved in the co-translational targeting of proteins to membranes. The record is from Rfam. NCBI's taxonomy places the organism in Eukaryota, Metazoa, Chordata, Mammalia, Primates, Hominidae.